Oncorhynchus mykiss (rainbow trout) is the source of this 727-nucleotide non-coding RNA. NCBI's taxonomy places the organism in Eukaryota, Metazoa, Chordata, Actinopteri, Salmoniformes, Salmonidae. The record is from RefSeq and is a predicted model, not a curated record.
AGUGGGAGGUGGGGUAGCGGUUCAUAGAGAGAGUCAUCUUCUGAAGGAGUUGUGCAUGUUUCUGGUGAGAGAUACUGUCUAGUGGGAGGUGGGGUAGCGGUUCAUAGAGAGAGUCAUCUUCUGAAGGAGUUGUGCAUGUUUCUGGUGAGAGAUACUGUCUAGUGGGAGGUGGUGUAGUAAUGCUGUCUAGUGGGAGGUGGUGUAGUAAUGCUGUCUAGUGGGAGGUGGUGUAGUAAUGCUGUCUAGUGGGAGGUGGUGUAGUAAUGCUGUCUAGUGGUAGGUGGGGUAGCGGUUCAUAGAGAGAGUCAUCUUCUGAAGGAGUUGUGCAUGUUUCUGGUGAGAGAUACUGUCUAGUGGGAGGUGGGGUAGUAAUGCUGUCUAGUGGGAGGUGGUGUAGUAAUGCUGUCUAGUGGGAGGUGGGGUAGCGGUUCAUAGAGAGAGUCAUCUUCUGAAGGAGUUGUGCAUGUUUCUGGUGAGAGAUACUGUCUAGUGGGAGGUGGAGUAGUAAUGCUGUCUAGUGGGAGGUGGGGUAGUAAUGCUGUCUAGUGGGAGGUGGUGUAGUAAUGCUGUCUAGUGGUAGGUGGGGUAGCGGUUCAUAGAGAGAGUCAUCUUCUGAAGGAGUUGUGCAUGUUUCUGGUGAGAGAUACUGUCUAGUGGGAGGUGGGGUAGUAAUGCUGUCUAGUGGGAGGUGGGGUAGUAAUGCUGUCUAGUGGGAGGUGGAGUAGUA